Molecule: ribosomal RNA, 1951 nt
Filed under: human gut metagenome
Description: bacterial LSU rRNA
Rfam family: Bacterial large subunit ribosomal RNA
Source: RNAcentral
GAAAGUAAGCAAGGGCAGACGGUGGAUGCCUUGGCUCUCGGAGGCGAUGAAGGACGUGAUAAGCUGCGAUAAGCUUGGGGUAGGUGCAAAUAACCUUUGAUCCCAAGAUUUCCGAAUGGGGCAACCCGGCUGGUAGAAGGCCAGUCAUUCCGUAAGGAAGGCGAACGUGGGGAACUGAAACAUCUAAGUACCCAUAGGAGAAGAAAACAAAAGUGAUUCCGCAAGUAGUGGCGAGCGAACGCGGAACAGCCCAAACCGAUGAUGUUUAGGCAUUGUCGGGGUAGUAGGACCACGUUGUGGCAAGAGAUUAAGGAAGUAGAACGUUUUGGAACAAACGGCCGUAGACGGUGAAAGCCCAGUAUACGACUCUUUAACGAAGCCUAGUGGAAUCCUGAGUAGCGCGGAGCACGAGAAAUUCUGUGUGAAUCAGCGGGGCCCAUCCCGUAAGGCUAAAUACUCCCGAGAGACCGAUAGCGAACCAGUACUGUGAAGGAAAGGUGAAAAGCACCUCGAACAGAGGAGUGAAAUAGUCCCUGAAACCGUCUGCCUACAAGCGGUCGGAGCACAUUAAAGUGUGACGGCGUGCCUUUUGCAUAAUGAACCUACGAGUUACUUUCUCCGGCAAGGUUAAGGGCUUCAGGCCCGGAGCCGAAGCGAAAGCGAGUCUUAAUAGGGCGUGAUAGUCGGAGUGAGUAGACGCGAAACCAAGUGAUCUACCCUUGGUCAGGAUGAAGGUUGGGUAACACCAACUGGAGGUCCGAAUGGGUAUACGUUGAAAAGUGUUCCAAUGAACUGAGGGUAGGGGUGAAAGGCUAAUCAAACUUGGAGAUAGCUCGUACUCCCCGAAAUGCAUUUAGGUGCAGCCUUUAUUUAGUAUAGCAUGAGGUAGAGCGACUGAUUGGAUGCGAGGGCUUCACCGCCUAUCAAGUCCAGAUAAACUCCGAAUGCGUGCUAUAUAUAGAUAAGGAGUGAGGGCGCGGGUGCUAAGGUCCGCGUCCGAGAGGAGAAGAAUCCAGACCAUCAGCUAAGGUCCCCAAAUAACAGUUAAGUUGAACUAACGAAGUCGGACUGCAGAGACAGCUAGGAUGUUGGCUUGGAAGCAGCCAUUCAUUUAAAGAGUGCGUAACAGCUCACUAGUCGAGGAGUCCGGCGUGGAUAAUACUCGGGCAUAAACUGUUUACCGAAGCUAUGGAUGUAGAAAUACAUGGUAGGGGAGCAUUCCAACGGCGUCGAAGGUGAAGGAUGACCUUUGCUGGAGCUUUUGGAAACGCAAAUGUAGGUAUAAGUAACGAUAAAGGAGGUGAGAAACCUCCUCGCCGAAAGACUAAGGUUUCCUGAUCAACGUUAAUCGGAUCAGGGUAAGUCGGGACCUAAGGUUAAGCCGAACGGCGAUACCGAUGGAAGAAUGGUUUAAUAUUCCCAUACUACUUUAUGGAGCGAUGUGGAGACGGAGAAGUGAAAGUCCUGCCAUCUGACGGAAUAGGUGGUUGAAGAGUGUAGAUGUAGAUUCCUGUAGGCAAAUCCGCAGGGAGAGUCGACCUUGACAGUAUGCCGCGUGCUUGCACAAGGCAAAAUGGACGUAAUCAGGCUCCCAAGAAAAUCCGCUAAGCAUAUUCAUAAAGUACCCGUACCGUAAACGGACACACGUAGUUGGGUUGAAAAUACUGAGGCGCUCGAGUGAUUCACGGUUAAGGAACUAGGCAAAUUGACCCUGUAACUUCGGGAUAAAGGGUCCCUACUGAGAGGUAGGGCGCAGAGAAUAGGUCCAGGCAACUGUUUAACAAAAACACAUGGCUGUGCGAAAUAGAAAUAUGAAGUAUACAGCCUGACACCUGCCCGGUGCUGGAAGGUUAAGAGGAGAGCUCAUCGCAAGAGAAGGCUUGAAUUGAAGCCCCAGUAAACGGCGGCCGUAACUAUAACGGUCCUAAGGUAGCGAAAUUCCUUGUCGGGU